Molecule: ribosomal RNA, 253 nt
Filed under: uncultured bacterium
Lineage: Bacteria
Description: partial 16S ribosomal RNA
Rfam family: Bacterial small subunit ribosomal RNA
Source: RNAcentral
UACAGAGGUCCCAAGCGUUGUUCGGAUUCACUGGGCGUAAAGGGUGCGUAGGCGGUCGGGUAAGUCUGAUGUGAAAUCUCAGAGCUCAACUCUGAAACUGCAUUGGAUACUAUUCGGCUUGAGGUCUGGAGGGGGGACUGGAAUUCCUGGUGUAGCGGUGAAAUGCGCAGAUAUCAGGAGGAACACCGGUGGCGAAGGCGGGUCUCUGGGCCGAUACUGACGCUGAGGAGCGAAAGCGUGGGGAGCGAACAGG